AUUGAACGCUGGCGGCAGGCUUAACACAUGCAAGUCGAGCGGAAACGAUGGGAGCUUGCUCCCAGGCGUCGAGCGGCGGACGGGCGAGUAACACUUAGGAAUCUACCUAGUAGUGGGGGAUAGCUCGGGGAAACUCGAAUUAAUACCGCAUACGUCCUACGGGAGAAAGGGGGCAACUUGUUGCUCUCGCUAUUAGAUGAGCCUAAGUCGGAUUAGCUAGUUGGUGGGGUAAAGGCCUACCAAGGCGACGAUCUGUAGCUGGUCUGAGAGGAUGAUCAGCCACACCGAGACUGAGACACGGCCCGGACUCCUACGGGAGGCAGCAGUGGGGAAUAUUGGACAAUGGGGGAAACCCUGACCCAGCCAUGCCGCGUGUGUGAAGAAGGCCUUUUGGUUGUAAAGCACUUUAAGCAGUGAAGAAGACCUAACGGUUAAUACCCGUUAGCGAUGACAUUAGCUGCAGAAUAAGCACCGGCUAACUCUGUGCCAGCAGCCGCGGUAAUACAGAGGGUGCAAGCGUUAAUCGGAAUUACUGGGCGUAAAGCGAGCGUAGGUGGCUUGAUAAGUCAGAUGUGAAAUCCCCGGGCUUAACCUGGGAACUGCAUCUGAUACUGUUAAGCUAGAGUAGGUGAGAGGGAAGUAGAAUUCCAGGUGUAGCGGUGAAAUGCGUAGAGAUCUGGAGGAAUACCGAUGGCGAAGGCAGCUUCCUGGCAUCAUACUGACACUGAGGUUCGAAAGCGUGGGUAGCAAACAGGAUUAGAUACCCUGGUAGUCCACGCCGUAAACGAUGUCUACUAGUCGUUGGGUCCCUUGAGGACUUAGUGACGCAGCUAACGCAAUAAGUAGACCGCCUGGGGAGUACGGCCGCAAAGUUAAAACUCAAAUGAAUUGACGGGGGCCCGCACAAG
RNAcentral lists this ribosomal RNA (908 nucleotides) under uncultured bacterium. Its description in RNAcentral is "bacterial SSU rRNA". It matches the Rfam family "Bacterial small subunit ribosomal RNA", at positions 28 to 929 of the family's 1533-position model. The record is from RNAcentral.